UACAGAGGGUGCAAGCGUUAAUCGGAAUUACUGGGCGUAAAGCGUGCGUAGACGGUUAUUUAAGUCAGGUGUGAAAGCCCCGGGCUCAACCUGGGAAUUGCAUUUGAGACUGAAUAGCUAGGGUGCGGAAGAGGGAAGCGGAAUUUCCGGUGUAGCGGUGAAAUGCGUAGAUAUCGGAAGGAACACCAGUGGCGAAAGCGGCUUCCUGGGUUAACACUGACGCUCAUGCACGAAAGCGUGGGGAGCAAACAGG
This 253-nucleotide ribosomal RNA is filed under the name uncultured bacterium. RNAcentral describes it as "partial 16S ribosomal RNA". It matches the Rfam family "Bacterial small subunit ribosomal RNA", at positions 524 to 776 of the family's 1533-position model. The record is from RNAcentral.